RNAcentral lists this ribosomal RNA (229 nucleotides) under uncultured bacterium. RNAcentral's name for it is "partial 16S ribosomal RNA". It matches the Rfam family "Bacterial small subunit ribosomal RNA", at positions 568 to 796 of the family's 1533-position model. The record is from RNAcentral.
UACGUAGGCGGGUAAUUAAGUCAGUAGUGAAAUCCCGCAGCUCAACUGUGGAACUGUCAUUGAUACUGGUUUUCUUGAAUUUAGUUGAGGUAGGCGGAAUGUGUAAUGUAGCGGUGAAAUGCUUAGAUAUUACACAGAACACCGAUUGCGAAGGCAGCUUACUAAACUAUGAUUGACGCUGAGGUACGAAAGCGUGGGGAGCGAACAGGAUUAGAUACCCUGGUAGUCC